UUUGGUUCAGUUGGGCGGUUUGAAGUGUUUUGGAGUCGUGUGGAGUUCUGUGGUUCAGCUGGUGGCUGGGUUUACGGGAAUGUGACUCUGUGUUUUCUGAUGGGUUAUGGGGGGAGAACGGGACUUGGAAAGGGGAAGAUCAGGAAGAGAGCGGGGGUAGUAAAUGCGGCUGUUCAGUAAUAAACUGCAAGGAAAAAGAAUUUCCCUCUCCAUCCAGUUCCCAUCCGUGUUAACCACCAUUGCACAAGCCCUCCAGUUACACUAAACCUAACCAGGCAUAACCCUUGCAAAAACUCCUCACGUCCCAGGCUCCACGAGGCUGGCCUGCUUCCAGCUUUCCUCUGGUGCAUCAGAUACAGACCAGUAACUGGAACAAAAGCCUCCACGUCCGCGUUUUAACUGUCGCCUAAACCGGCUGUCUUCUGCCGACUGUCAUUGGAGACAGUGCCUGGCGGGUCAUACCGCACUGCAUUCUGGGGGAAAGUGGUUCGGUCAAGAUUGGCCAAGAUUCGAUCAGUUACAGUGAUGCCAAGACGCGCGGUGGAAGCUGUGCUCUUCAGCAGAGUGUACAGUGUGUCUCUGUGGGCCUGUGCUCCGGCGCCGCGGGGGUUAAUUCCAGGUGACCUCGUCGGCUCCACACGCAGUGACCUCUUU
This 654-nucleotide long non-coding RNA is filed under the name Lepisosteus oculatus (spotted gar). RNAcentral describes it as "lncRNA (ENSLOCG00000021475.1)". Lineage: Eukaryota; Metazoa; Chordata; Actinopteri; Semionotiformes; Lepisosteidae. The record is from RNAcentral.